GCGGGCGUAGCUCAAUGGUAGAGCAUCAGUCUUCCAAACUGAUGACGCGAGUUCGAUUCUCGUCGCCCGCUCCA
RNAcentral lists this transfer RNA (74 nucleotides) under Nakamurella alba. RNAcentral describes it as "tRNA-Gly". It matches the Rfam family "tRNA". From Rfam's summary of the family: Transfer RNA (tRNA) molecules are approximately 80 nucleotides in length. Their secondary structure includes four short double-helical elements and three loops (D, anti-codon, and T loops). Lineage: Bacteria; Bacillati; Actinomycetota; Actinomycetes; Nakamurellales; Nakamurellaceae. The record is from RNAcentral.